AGAGUUUGAUCAUGGCUCAGAACGAACGCUGGCGGCAGGCCUAACACAUGCAAGUCGAGCGCGCCUUCGGGUGAGCGGCGGACGGGUUAGUAACGCGUGGGAACGUGCCCUUCUCUACGGAAUAGCCUCUGGAAACGGAGAGUAAUACCGUAUACGCCCUUUGGGGGAAAGAUUUAUCGGAGAAGGAUCGGCCCGCGUUAGAUUAGGUAGUUGGUGGGGUAACGGCCUACCAAGCCUACGAUCUAUAGCUGGUUUUAGAGGAUGAUCAGCAACACUGGGACUGAGACACGGCCCAGACUCCUACGGGAGGCAGCAGUGGGGAAUCUUAGACAAUGGGGGCAACCCUGAUCUAGCCAUGCCGCGUGAGUGAUGAAGGCCUUAGGGUCGUAAAGCUCUUUCGCCUGUGAUGAUAAUGACAGUAGCAGGUAAAGAAACCCCGGCUAACUCCGUGCCAGCAGCCGCGGUAAUACGGAGGGGGUUAGCGUUGUUCGGAAUUACUGGGCGUAAAGCGCGCGUAGGCGGAUUAGAAAGUUGGGGGUGAAAUCCCGGGGCUCAACCCCGGAACUGCCUCCAAAACUGCUAGUCUAGAGGUCGAGAGAGGUGAGUGGAAUUCCGAGUGUAGAGGUGAAAUUCGUAGAUAUUCGGAGGGACACCAGUGGCGAAGGCGGCUCACUGGCUCGAUACUGACGCUGAGGUGCGAAAGUGUGGGGAGCAAACAGGAUUAGAUACCCUGGUAGUCCACACCGUAAAC
Molecule: ribosomal RNA, 751 nt
Filed under: uncultured Phaeobacter sp.
Lineage: Bacteria; Pseudomonadati; Pseudomonadota; Alphaproteobacteria; Rhodobacterales; Roseobacteraceae
Description: bacterial SSU rRNA
Rfam family: Bacterial small subunit ribosomal RNA
Source: RNAcentral